CAACCCCUAAGCACAGCUUGGUGUUGGGUGUUUGUCUCUUCCGGGAGACUCGCCUCAAAACAAUUGGCAGCCGGCAUAUUGGUAUCGGAGCGCAGCACAAGUCGCGCUUCUGUCCAUAUUUGUUGGCAUCCAGCAAGACCAUUUUUCAC
This 149-nucleotide unclassified non-coding RNA is filed under the name Pleospora bjoerlingii. RNAcentral's name for it is "sequence contains ITS2". The record is from RNAcentral. Lineage: Eukaryota; Fungi; Ascomycota; Dothideomycetes; Pleosporales; Pleosporaceae.